GCUCUCCCNUNUGGUCGACCUGCAGGCGGCCGCGAAUUCACUAGUGAUUAGAGUUUGAUCCUGGCUCAGAUUGAACGCUGGCGGCGUGCCUAACACAUGCAAGUCGAACGUGAAAGUUCCUUCGGGAGCGAGUAAAGUGGCGCACGGGUGAGUAACACGUGGAUAAUCUACCGGGAAGUUGGGGAUAACGACUGGAAACGGUCGCUAAUACCGAAUACGCUGUUCUAUUUGUUUAGGACAGGAAAGGAGGCCUCUGCAUAUGCUUCCGCUUUUCGAUGAGUCCGCGUCCCAUUAGCUAGUUGGCGGGGUAAAGGCCCACCAAGGCGACGAUGGGUAGCUGGUCUGAGAGGAUGAUCAGCCACACUGGGACUGGAACACGGCCCAGACUCCUACGGGAGGCAGCAGUGGGGAAUAUUGCGCAAUGGGCGAAAGCCUGACGCAGCGACGCCGCGUGAGGGAUGAAGGUCCUCGGAUCGUAAACCUCUGUCAGAAGGGAAGAAGUUGCACUGUGCUAAUCAGCGGUGCAUUGACGGUACCUUCAAAGGAAGCACCGGCUAACUCCGUGCCAGCAGCCGCGGUAAUACGGAGGGUGCGAGCGUUAAUCGGAAUUACUGGGCGUAAAGCGCACGUAGGCUGUAUAUCNAAGUCAAGGGUGAAAUCCCCGGGCUCAACCUGGGAACUGCCUUUGAAACUGGUAAACUGGAGUAUGUGAGAGGGUGGCGGAAUUCCUGGUGUAGGAGUGAAAUCCGUAGAUAUCANGAGGAACAUCAGUGGCGAAGGCGGCCACCUGGCACAAAACUGACGCUGANGUGCGAAAGCGUGGGUAGCAAACANGAUUANAUACCCUGGUAGUCCACGCUGUAAACGAUGGAUACUGGGUGUUGGGAUGUAUGUCUCGGCGCCGUAGCUAACGCGUUAAGUNUCCCGCCUGGGGAGNNCNGNCGCANNGCUGAAACUCAANAAAUUGACGGGGGCNCGCACA
Molecule: ribosomal RNA, 982 nt
Filed under: uncultured bacterium
Lineage: Bacteria
Description: bacterial SSU rRNA
Rfam family: Bacterial small subunit ribosomal RNA
Source: RNAcentral